GGCGUCGGAUGCGUUUUAAAUAUUAUGCCACUGCAUAAUUGAGAUUAUUGUGGCCUACGGUAUUCUGACCGUGCAAAGGUAGCAUAAUCAUUAGUCUUUUAAUUGAAGGCUUGUAUGAAUGGUUUGACGAAGUAUAGUCUGUCUCUGUGUAAUAUGUAGAAUUUAACUUUUGAGUCAAAAGGCUUAGAUGUUAAUAAAGGACGAGAAGACCCUAUAGAGUUUUAUAUAAUUUAUAGGUAACUUUAAUUAGUAGUGGUAAUUUUUAUUUAUAAAUUGUAUUGGGUUGGGGUGACUUAAAGAUAAAAUAAACUCUUUAUUUAUAGGAACAUUGAUUUAUGAAUGAUUGAUCCAUUAAUAAUGAUUAUAAGAAAAAAUUACCUUAGGGAUAACAGCGUAAUUUUUCUCGAGAGUUCUUAUCGACAGAAAAGUUUGCGACCUCGAUGUUGGACUAAGAAAAUGGUUUGAUGUAGCAGUUAAAUUAAUAAGUCUGUUCGACUUUUAAAUUCUUACGUGAUCUGAUUUCAGACCGG
RNAcentral lists this ribosomal RNA (530 nucleotides) under Conocephalus fuscus. RNAcentral describes it as "partial 16S large subunit ribosomal RNA". It matches the Rfam family "Bacterial large subunit ribosomal RNA", at positions 1861 to 2619 of the family's 2925-position model. The record is from RNAcentral. Lineage: Eukaryota; Metazoa; Arthropoda; Insecta; Orthoptera; Tettigoniidae.